RNAcentral lists this unclassified non-coding RNA (328 nucleotides) under soil metagenome. RNAcentral describes it as "partial contains 5.8S ribosomal RNA, internal transcribed spacer 2, and large subunit ribosomal RNA". The stretch from base 1 to 120 matches the Rfam family "5.8S ribosomal RNA", at positions 35 to 154 of the family's 154-position model. The record is from RNAcentral.
GAUGAAGAACGCAGUGAAAUGCGAUAAGUAAUGUGAAUUGCAGAAUUCAGUGAAUCAUCGAAUCUUUGAACGCACAUUGCGCCCUCUGGUAUUCCGGGGGGCAUGCCUGUUCGAGCGUCAUUAUAACCACUCAAGCUCUCGCUUGGUAUUGGGGUUCGCGGUUCCGCGGCCCCUAAAAUCAGUGGCGGUGCCUGUCGGCUCUACGCGUAGUAAUACUCCUCGCGAUUGAGUCCGGUAGGUCUACUUGCCAGCAACCCCCAAUUUUUACAGGUUGACCUCGGAUCAGGUAGGGAUACCCGCUGAACUUAAGCAUAUCAUAAGCGGAGGA